GAGUCAGGUAGGACAGGGCCUGCCUUUGGCUCACAACCCAGAAUUAUUGCUGUCAUCUCCUAGAGGGCAGGGGUGGGGCAGGAAAACAUCCUCCUCAAUGUUUACUUCUCAGAGUCCAUUCAACACCACAUCCUGGCAGGCAGGUCUCACAGGGUGGGCAGGGAAACUGAACUCAAGGGAAGGUGGGCUACUCCACCCUUAGCAAGAAGCAAGCACACUGUGUUCAGAGAUCCCAAGGUCAUUGCAGCAGGUAAAAUAGUGGGUAUACCAGAUCAAUGCUAUUUGGACAAUGGAUGUAUCUCAGCAAACCCAGUGUGGAGCUGAAGUUCUCUGAAGAAGUCACAUCUCCAUUAAAGAUUCUGAAGACCUACGUUGACGGAGUACAACAUCGUGAUUGAGGAGAGAUGAAAUGCUGCAGGAAGGAAGACUCUUAUCAGACAGAAAAAAAAAAUUCUACCCACUGAAGUUUGGUCUUGGAGGCCUGCUAAUUAAACUGGCAAAAAGAUACCUUCAGAGGCUGGCGCUGUAGCUCAGUGCAGAGCCCUUGCCUAACAUGCGUGAGGCACUGGGUUCAAUA
Molecule: long non-coding RNA, 577 nt
Organism: Marmota flaviventris (yellow-bellied marmot)
Lineage: Eukaryota; Metazoa; Chordata; Mammalia; Rodentia; Sciuridae
Source: RefSeq, a predicted model, not a curated record